RNAcentral lists this long non-coding RNA (515 nucleotides) under Pan troglodytes (chimpanzee). RNAcentral describes it as "lncRNA (ENSPTRG00000052996.1)". Lineage: Eukaryota; Metazoa; Chordata; Mammalia; Primates; Hominidae. The record is from RNAcentral.
UUCAUGUUAAUAACUGACUACCGAGACAUGCUAUUUGGCUCUAUGUGUCUGUUUCCCACAGAAAGGAUGUCGGGCCUGGUGUUGAUGGGCAAGCUCUCCAGAACAUGGGUACCACACGUGCAGCACGGGCUUGGGCCUCAGUCAGGCACGCUGGAGCACUCAUUGCCGCUCUGGUGCCACCCACAGGACGAGCUCACACAUGCUCACUCUGGUGCAACUGAAGGACUAUGGCUAUGGUAGCUGCCCAGGAAGACUGGCCAUCCGAUUCAUGCUUGUGCAGUCCUUGGACUUUUAGAUCUACCAGGUACCCACACCUCACAAAGGUCUUUUUCUAGGGAAGUGAUAAACUUUCACAGAAGUUUUGUUUUGAAUCUGAAGGGACCAUAUGAAUUACCUAUUCUUAUUUAUGGCACACAAAUGAGAAAAAUGAGACCAAAAGAGGUUUAGUGUUUGUCUAGAGACAAGUAUCUAGUUAUUCAAAAGACCAUGAAUCAGAAUGCAGCCUUGCCUCGCAG